CGCGGGUCAGACAACUGCUGCGGGUUUGGUGGAGAAACGCGCGGGAGCAGAGUCAGGGGAAGUCGGUGUGCGGGAGGAAAUGUGUGGACGUCUAGUGACCCUACAGCUGGAUCCGAACCGUGGCAGAGUCAGAGAUCUCCGUGUAUGAAGCCUGAGUUCUUUCCGCUGCCCCCUCUGGUGAAAUAACGUACAGCGCGUGAUUGGCUCGCUGGUGGCUCCCUUCUCUGUCAAAAAGUCCCCCACUGCCCAUGGCCUCCCGGGACAGCGGCGGCAGCAGCCGGGCCCGCGACACUCGACAUCGCGUGAGGCACCGGCCGCACACUUGGCUGCGUCUGGUCAUACCCGCACAGAGCCUCAUUUCCAGGGGCGACGCGCUUUCAUAUCCAGCAGCCUCUCAGAGUGCAUUGGAUUGCCACGAAGCGCACAUUUUGGCGAAGGAAUACGACUGGGGAGCAAAGCGGAAAAAUACAGACGCCACGGGCCACAGGUUGUGUAACAAUUUGAAACUGAGGCACAAGGAAAGAGGUGAAGGGGAAAGUCAUAGGAUGACGCGACCGGCCGUCUGUCGACAGCGGCCCCCGACAAAGAACAGGGGGAAAGUUGCUGCGAGGACAAGGUGGUGAAAGCGCCAGAUCCAUACUGAGCAUUUUGCUCCACUGCACAACUUAGCGCAGGGGGGAAGAAGAAGAAAGAUAAAAAAGGAAGCACAGAUCGAUUGUUCUCUAAGGCCGCUCCGAUGGUCUCGCUGUUUGUCAAGGGCAACGAGACGCUUGGUGUCGCGUGCGCCCCCUAAUUCCCCCCCUGCAGAUUGUCAGGACGCAUGGCGCUCAGCGAGAGCGUGACUUCCAGAGACGUUAUAUCACGAGGGGGGGGGGGGGGAGAAGUUGAAUGGAAACCUUUGACGCACUCGCCAAUA
This is a long non-coding RNA of Scophthalmus maximus (turbot), 916 nucleotides long. RefSeq lists it as uncharacterized. The transcript is spliced from 3 exons. Lineage: Eukaryota; Metazoa; Chordata; Actinopteri; Pleuronectiformes; Scophthalmidae. The record is from RefSeq and is a predicted model, not a curated record.